CGUGCCUCCAAUUACAGCCUGCCGCGUGUCCCAUCUGCUCCCGUUGAUCACAAUCCUCUUCCUCCUCGGUUUCCCAACUACCCUCCACCGCCCAGUGGCCCGCCAUCAGCUCCCGUCGAUGCCUUUCCGGUGAACGACGCUCCAUCAGCUCCCGUUGAUGCCUUUCCGGCGAACGAGUACAAGCCGCAAGACCCACCUGUGAGCUCGAGAUUCUCCAGUUAUGGAGUGCCAAGUGGCCCAUCGGCGCCGGUGGAUUACUCUCCUUACGAUCACAGGCAGUU
This 281-nucleotide long non-coding RNA is filed under the name Brassica rapa (field mustard). Its description in RNAcentral is "long non-coding RNA (BRAP_LNC007441)". Lineage: Eukaryota; Viridiplantae; Streptophyta; Magnoliopsida; Brassicales; Brassicaceae. The record is from RNAcentral.